AUAGAACGCUGGCGGCAUGCUUUACACAUGCAAGUCGAACGGUAACAGGUUAAGCUGACGAGUGGCGAACGGGUGAGUAAUGCAUCGGAACGUGCCCGGGCGUGGGGGAUAACGCAGCGAAAGCUGCGCUAAUACCGCAUACGAUCUGAGGAUGAAAGCGGGGGACCGUAAGGCCUCGCGCGAUCGGAGCGGCCGAUGUCAGAUUAGGUAGUUGGUGGGGUAAAGGCCUACCAGGCCGACGAGCUGUAGCUGGUCUGAGAGGCCGACCAGCCACACUGGGACUGAGACACGGCCCAGACUCCUACGGGAGGCAGCAGUGGGGAAUUUUGGACAAUGGGCGCAAGCCUGAUCCAGCAAUGCCGCGUGCAGGAAGAAGGCCUUCGGGUUGUAAACUGCUUUUGUACGGAGCGAAAAGGCUCUCUCUAAUACAGGGGGCUCAUGACGGUACCGUAAGAAUAAGCACCGGCUAACUACGUGCCAGCAGCCGCCGUAA
This 493-nucleotide ribosomal RNA is filed under the name uncultured bacterium. RNAcentral describes it as "partial 16S ribosomal RNA". It matches the Rfam family "Bacterial small subunit ribosomal RNA", at positions 31 to 523 of the family's 1533-position model. The record is from RNAcentral.